Molecule: long non-coding RNA, 249 nt
Filed under: Vigna radiata
Lineage: Eukaryota; Viridiplantae; Streptophyta; Magnoliopsida; Fabales; Fabaceae
Description: long non-coding RNA (VRAD_LNC015873)
Source: RNAcentral
CCGAGAGUGCUCUGGGAUACGAUACUUGGUCUUACCAUUUUAUAUUACUUGUGCGACUAGGUAUACUUGCCGAUUUGGCCUAACACUGGCCCUUAGAAUCGUAGGACACUCAGCGGCACCGCCCAAGCGAGAAACAGUGGUUACCUCCUCGAAACUAGCGCUCAACACUGGAUUGGCCCUAAGCGGUGGACCUUACUCCUCUUUUGCUUCUUUUCUCAUCCUUUCUUGAGUAUAAGUCCUCCCUUCUUC